This 776-nucleotide long non-coding RNA is filed under the name Homo sapiens (human). RNAcentral describes it as "HSALNT0409614". Lineage: Eukaryota; Metazoa; Chordata; Mammalia; Primates; Hominidae. The record is from RNAcentral.
UGUGUGCUGAAUAAAUUCCAGAAGAGCCAGAGACUUGAGGCCACAGCUGACAGCACUCUACUUGAAGCAUCCAACAUAUGGGAUUUUGACAUCUACCUAAGCCAAUUUUAAAGUGCUGUGACUCUUCUGCCUGGAUCAUGCUCAGUAAGAAUGGUGACAUCGCUGGAUCCAGCUCCCAGGUGCAUCUAAGGAAACGAGCCCUGUGUGAUAGUGGUAAAGAGAACAACUGCAUCCUUCUGUAGCUGAUGCCUUGUUGAGCUUUGAAGCACAUUGAGAAGAAUCUGAAAUCCUUCCUCAUUAUGGGGUGUGUUCAGGCUGCUGAGGUGCCCAUUCUCAAGAUUUUCACUGGACAUUCUGGGGUCCCAGUUCAAGUAUUUUCCAAUGUGAGUCAAGGUGAACCAGAGCCUGAAAUUUUGGUUCAGUGUGGCCAGGCUGAGGCUGCCCUUUUAAAGGGAGAAAUGUCAGGGGGGCUGCACUUGUGGUUGCCAUCCUGAUUUCUUUGUGGAAAUACCUAGUGGGUGAGGAAGGACUCAAGGACCGGGAACAUGACAGAGCACCUAGGCUGACCUACCACGUGGCCCUCUGAGAUCACUGCUGGCAGGAGUGUUUCAUGGAGCUCCAGGCCCCUAUUCUAAGAUGCUUGCCCAUAGCCCCUUCCGUGACUUCCAGGAAAGGUCUACUCUUUUAGCAAGCUGCACCCACUGGUCUCUAGGAGACAAGUAUUCAUUUACCUUUGUGUAAGUCACCUUCUGCUUCAUUUCUAUUAAAUGUUCUCC